RNAcentral lists this long non-coding RNA (358 nucleotides) under Numida meleagris (helmeted guineafowl). RNAcentral describes it as "lncRNA (ENSNMEG00000019189.1)". The record is from RNAcentral. Lineage: Eukaryota; Metazoa; Chordata; Aves; Galliformes; Numididae.
GCCACUGGAAUCUAAAUCAACCUGGAUUUCAGGAACCUCAGGUGACAGUGCACUGUGAGUGAAUUGUUGGGCUCGUGGCCUUUCUCUGUCAGGCUGAGAAGAAAUAGUACAGCCCUGUGGAAAGUUUUUAACGUGACAGUUGUACUUUCUCCCAUUUCUUCAUCUUAUAUUCUCAAAUGUACCUAGAACUCCUGCUGAGCACAGAUGUGUCAACUAUAAGAAAGGAAGUAUGAGUAAUUCUAUACAGCUCUAUGAAAGAUGAACAUUCUCUGAUUUACUUUAACUGAAGGAGUCCUGACCACAACUUUGCACUAAAGGUAAGAUACUAAGAGGCAAAAUCAGCUAGGACACUGAUGCA